Molecule: ribosomal RNA, 534 nt
Filed under: uncultured Bifidobacterium sp.
Lineage: Bacteria; Bacillati; Actinomycetota; Actinomycetes; Bifidobacteriales; Bifidobacteriaceae
Description: bacterial SSU rRNA
Rfam family: Bacterial small subunit ribosomal RNA
Source: RNAcentral
UGGGUGGUAAUGCCGGAUGUUCCGCCCCACCGCAUGGUGGGGUGGGAAAUGCUUUUUGCGGCAUGGGAUGGGGUCGCGUCCUAUCAGCUUGUUGGCGGGGUGAUGGCCCACCAAGGCGUUGACGGGUAGCCGGCCUGAGAGGGUGACCGGCCACAUUGGGACUGAGAUACGGCCCAGACUCCUACGGGAGGCAGCAGUGGGGAAUAUUGCACAAUGGGCGCAAGCCUGAUGCAGCGACGCCGCGUGCGGGAUGGAGGCCUUCGGGUUGUAAACCGCUUUUGUUCAAGGGCAAGGCACGGCUUCGGGCCGUGUUGAGUGGAUUGUUCGAAUAAGCACCGGCUAACUACAUGCCAGCAGCCGCGGUAAAUACGUAGGGUGCGAGCGUUAUCCGGAUUUAUUGGGCGUAAAGGGCUCGUAGGCGGUUCGUCGCGUCCGGUGUGAAAGUCCAUCGCCUAACGGGGAUCUGCGCCGGGACGGGCGGGAUGGAGAAAACCAAUACCUAGGGGAGACCGGAAAUUCCGGUGUACCCCGUGC